UAAAAAAAGGUAAGCUACUAAGAGCGAAUGGUGGAUGCCUUGACUGGUAAAGGCGAUGAAGGACGUACUAGACUGCGAUAAGCUACGGGGAGCUGUCAAGAAGCUUUGAUCCGUAGAUUUCCGAAUGGGGCAACCCAAUGUAUAGAGAUAUACAUUACCUAUAUAGGAGCGAACGAGGGGAAUUGAAACAUCUUAGUACCCUCAGGAAAAGAAAUCAAUAGAGAUUGCGUCAGUAGCGGCGAGCGAAAGCGCAAGAGGGCAAACCCAGUGCUUGCACUGGGGGUUGUAGGACUGCAAUGUGCAAGAGCUGAGUUUAGCAGAACAUUCUGGAAAGUAUAGCCAUAGAGGGUGAUAGUCCCGUAUGCGAAAAACAAAGCUUAGCUAGCAGUAUCCUGAGUAGGGCGGGACACGAGGAAUCCUGUCUGAAUCCGGGUCGACCACGAUCCAACCCUAAAUACUAAUACCAGAUCGAUAGUGCACAAGUACCGUGAGGGAAAGGUGAAAAGAACUGAGGUGAUCAGAGUGAAAUAGAACCUGAAACCAUUUGCUUACAAUCAUUCAGAGCACUAUGUAGCAAUACAGUGUGAUGGACUGCCUUUUGCAUAAUGAGCCUGCGAGUUGUGGUGUCUGGCAAGGUUAAGCAAACGCGAAGCCGUAGCGAAAGCGAGUCUGAAUAGGGCGCUUAGUCAGAUGCUGCAGACCCGAAACGAAGUGAUCUAUCCAUGAGCAAGUUGAAGCUAGUGUAAGAACUAGUGGAGGACUGAACCCAUAGGCGUUGAAAAGCCCCGGGAUGACUUGUGGAUAGGGGUGAAAGGCCAAUCAAACUUCGUGAUAGCUGGUUCUCUCCGAAAUAUAUUUAGGUAUAGCGUUGUGUCGUAAUAUAAGGGGGUAGAGCACUGAAUGGGCUAGGGCAUACACCAAUGUACCAAACCCUAUCAAACUCCGAAUACCUUAUAUGUAAUCACAGCAGUCAGGCGGCGAGUGAUAAAAUCCGUCGUCAAGAGGGAAACAACCCAGACUACCAGCUAAGGUCCCUAAAUCUUACUUAAGUGGAAAACGAUGUGAAGUUACUUAAACAACCAGGAGGUUGGCUUAGAAGCAGCCAUCCUUUAAAGAAAGCGUAAUAGCUCACUGGUCUAGUGAUUUUGCGCGGAAAAUAUAACGGGGCUAAAGUAAGUACCGAAGCUGUAGACUUGCACACAACUUAGAUUAUUUAAGUUUAGAAUAUGAGAAACUAAGUUAUAUGUUUAGUUAUAUUUUUACUGAUUUUUAUAGAGUAAAGAUAGAAAUAAAACUUAGUAAAAUCAGUAAAAAUAUUCUUAGGCUAAAGUUAAGUAGUUUAAGUUGUGUGCAAGUGGUAGGAGAGCGUUCUAUUUGCGUCGAAGGUAUACCGGUAAGGAGUGCUGGAGCGAAUAGAAGUGAGCAUGCAGGCAUGAGUAGCGAUAAUUAAUGUGAGAAUCAUUAACGCCGUAAACCCAAGGUUUCCUACGCGAUGCUCGUCAUCGUAGGGUUAGUCGGGUCCUAAGUCGAGUCCGAAAGGGGUAGACGAUGGCAAAUUGGUUAAUAUUCCAAUACCAACAUUAGUGUGCGAUGGAAGGACG
Molecule: ribosomal RNA, 1601 nt
Filed under: Campylobacter jejuni
Lineage: Bacteria; Pseudomonadati; Campylobacterota; Epsilonproteobacteria; Campylobacterales; Campylobacteraceae
Description: partial 23S ribosomal RNA
Rfam family: Bacterial large subunit ribosomal RNA
Source: RNAcentral